Molecule: long non-coding RNA, 1239 nt
Filed under: Oryzias sinensis (Chinese medaka)
Lineage: Eukaryota; Metazoa; Chordata; Actinopteri; Beloniformes; Adrianichthyidae
Description: lncRNA (ENSOSIG00000019599.1)
Source: RNAcentral
AUGAUGAGCAGGCGCUCUCCCACAGAGAACACCCACAUGAACAGGUUUCUCCUCUGCGAGGCGGACCCCCUGCCAACGGAGGGAUACCCAGUCCUAAGUCGCCACAGCUCCCCCUUAAAAAAAAUACUUUCGGACACCACUACAGCUCCUCAGUGGAGCGACAGGGAGGAGCCAGAGGAGUAGGGCAGGAGUUCUGAUUCAACCCCAGUCUUAACCACAGAUUCCUGUCAGUUUGCAGAUGAAUAUCAGGAUGAUGUGGAGCAAAGCAUUCUGGGUUUCAGACUGUUUUCCGUUUGAGGCCUUAACCUGAGAGGAAGCAUCAGGAUCACCACAGUCCUGGAAAACCUUCAGACCUCUCCUCAGUGGCAGGAGCAAACACAGAAAUCAUGGAGAACCUCUCCACAUUCAUGAAGAUCUGCAUAUGAAUGUGAUGAGAUCCCAUGGUGAACAAAGCUCUCACUUGAACCCGUCUGCGGAGAGAAGGCAUCAAAGUGGAGGCGCUCGCCGGAUCACGGCGUUUUGGAUUUGCUUUUGUUUUUCUAAAAGCCCUGUGAUGCAUAAAUCAUUUCCAGGCAAAUCUGAUUUGUAAAGCCCUCACAGAGGACGCUCAUCAGAGAGUGUGAAUGUGGGAAGAUGUCUGACUGCUGCAUUCAGGCUCUCAGCAAAACGCAGGUCCACCUGUGUCCCUGACGGGGAUCUGCUGUCAGGAAGCCCAUCCGCUCCGGAGUUCAUUUCUGCUGCAGUUUCUAAUCAAAAACAAAACUAGAAUCCAAUAGAAACACUCAGUUCUGACAACAGCACUGUUUGCUGUUUUACAACACUUGUUAGGAACAGGCGCCUCAAACCUCUCACCAAAUUAGAAUCCAUUCAAUAUAGAAAGAACAGAUUAGAAUAGAAUAAACUAUUCCCUUCACAUGGUUAUUCCGGAAGUUGACAGGUUUUUUCAUAUUAUUAUUAUUAUAAAUUUACUGAUAGACUAAUUAUGUUAUAGUUUCUGUAAAAUGUUGUGUAAAAAUAAGAACUAAGAGGCUUUUGUUUAAAAAGAAUCUAGAAAAGCCUGUUAUUGUGAAACUGAAGGUUUGAGUCCAGAGAACUCAAUCUCAUGUUCUAGAAACCAGUCUGAGAUGAUUCCAGCUUGAUGACAUGGAGCCUUAUCCUGCUGGAAGUAGCAUCAGAAGAUGGUCCACUGUGGUCAUGAAGGGAUGGACAUGGCCAGCAGCAAUACAAUAUAAUAGGUAG